UUCAUUCAAAAGUCCAAAAGAAGAACCCACAAAAGUUGAAAACAAAGGAUGCAUAAUUCGCUCAAGUAGAAAGCAACAACCAUCACCAUCGUUGACAAAAUUGCACAGAAAGAGGACUUUGAAAGUGCUAGCUAGCCUCAGCUAUUAGCUGAUGAAAAUUCUUCCUUUCACACAUUAUAGCUCUGCCCAUUUUUCCCAGAAGUCUUUAGGUUUACUAUAGAGGAACUAAGAAUAGAUUGCAACAGACCUUAGCUCAGCGAUUGUGGAGAGGGUCUGAAGCAUUUGGAACUUUUCUUUUGUUUGAAAAGAACACAUCAAAUGAGAAGCUUAAACGUUGAUAUUGCUGCUUCUCUUUCCUUGUGGGUUGCUGGCUAUACGUGUUGUUAACCACCAACUUCUCUUCCUUCUCUCCGGAGACCACAAACAGCGAAACAAGAAUCAGAAAUAUUAGCUUCUGCAGCAUACCAACUUGCAUUUUCAUUUUCCUGGCUGUAAAUGAGAGAGAUUUUCAAAGUGGGGGAUAGAAAACGCAAAAAUUCUGGGAUAAUGGGACCAGCUGGAGAAAGAGCAGAGAAAGCUAAAUGGCUUUGAUCGGGCAAAUGGGAAGAGAAAUAGAAGGAAAAAGUGGAUGUUGCAUGUCAUCGAGUACACCCUGCAAACAAGGGACACAACUCACGAAGGAGUUUUUUGUUUUGUUUUCUUUUACAGCAUCUUCACGAGAAACUUUUCCUUGCCAUCUUUGCUUUUUUAUCAUGGCAUUUAGUCCCGGAAAAUAAGCCAAACACUGGGUCCAAUUUCUAAGGAUAUACAGACGCUGGCUUUUGUACUUUUUUUUCCAAUUUAUUUAUUUAUUUUUAUGGGUAAAUUUUGUCGGCUUUGGAAGAUAGUCAAUUUACUCUUUAUAGCCAUUUGGUGUAGAGCCAGAAAACGUACUGUUUGCACCUUAAAAAGAGCGAAAUCAGAAUUCAGAAAUGCCUGAGCUACUAUCUAAUCUUAUUCUUUCUUUUCAACUCUCA
RNAcentral lists this long non-coding RNA (1016 nucleotides) under Manihot esculenta (cassava). Its description in RNAcentral is "long non-coding RNA (MESC_LNC003071)". The record is from RNAcentral. Lineage: Eukaryota; Viridiplantae; Streptophyta; Magnoliopsida; Malpighiales; Euphorbiaceae.